Molecule: ribosomal RNA, 498 nt
Filed under: uncultured bacterium
Lineage: Bacteria
Description: partial 16S ribosomal RNA
Rfam family: Bacterial small subunit ribosomal RNA
Source: RNAcentral
GACGAACGCUGGCGGCGUGCCUAAUACAUGCAAGUCGAACGAGAGCGGCCGGUGCUUGCCCUGGUCAAUCUAGUGGCGAACGGGUGAGUAACACGUGGGUAACCUGCCCAUCAGAGGGGGAUAACAUCCGGAAACGGAUGCUAACACCGCAUAGGUCUUCGAACCGCAUGGUUUGUAGAGGAAAAGAGGCGCAAGCUUCUGCUGAUGGAUGGACCCGCGGUGCAUUAGCUAGUUGGUGAGGUAACGGCUCACCAAGGCCGUGAUGCAUAGCCGGCCUGAGAGGGUGAUCGGCCACACUGGGACUGAGACACGGUCCAAACUCCUACGGGAGGCAGCAGUAGGGAAUCUUCCGCAAUGGACGCAAGUCUGACGGAGCAACGCCGCGUGAGUGAAGAAGGUUUUCGGAUCGUAAAACUCUGUUGUUAGAGAAGAACAAGUGCUAGAGUAACUGUUAGCGCCUUGACGGUACCUAACCAGAAAGCCACGGCUAACUACGUG